GUAGCUCAGUGGUAAUGCAUCUACUUCUUGUGCAGAAGGUUCCAGGUUCAAUCCCCAGCUUCCCUGGUCUCU
Non-coding RNA from Podarcis lilfordi (Lilford's wall lizard), 72 nucleotides. NCBI's taxonomy places the organism in Eukaryota, Metazoa, Chordata, Lepidosauria, Squamata, Lacertidae. The record is from the annotation of a GenBank genome assembly.